UUGUUUCCUGUUUGCAAUUAUUUCAAGUGGUGCUUUACUAACCCCCUUGAUUCCCCCUUUCGAUUUGAUCUAUCAGCAUAUAUUUAUAUGCAUAUAGCUUUGCACUUGAAACCAGCGGAAAAAAACGAUGCGUUUUAAAUUUCCAUUAAAAACGAUUUUCUAGAGUAGGAACUUCGUUCUCAAGAAGUGAAUUUGAGAAGCCCGGAAUGUCUGACUGUGUGAGUUUUCUUUUUCACAAAUUUUUUGUUUAUUUUUGAAUAUUUUAUUUGACAAAGCGGAAGGUCUUCAAAUUAUUUAUAUAUUUUUUCACGCGCCAAAUGUUUCCUCGGGCUUACUGCCUUAUUAGCCAAGGAAGGCAAUGUUUAGUCAACAAUAUAAAUUGUGGUUGUUUUGCAAUUGGCACUGGAAAAAAUAAGUGUAGUUACUUAGCCUUGGGUUUAUGCAGCACACAGCUACUUUUCCAUUUAGGAGCCAAUACAAGUGGGUGGAUCUCUGGGUCUCUGCACAACAUAUAUCCCCAAUAUAAAUCGUUAUCUGUCGCCGAUUCGUCAUGCGUGUCAAGGCUGUGGGGCAAAGUGCGUGAAACUUCUUAAAAGUUAAUCGGACAAGAGUGUGCGUGGAAAAGCUGACAAAACACAAAUGUGAUAAAAGCCAGCAAAUGCUUAACCCUCCAUCGCCUAUCUGGCCCUCUCUUUUUUUCCCAUAUUCCUUCGCCUUCUGGGCGCGUGGGAAAAUAGAAACUCAACCGCAGAGUUUUAUUUCGUUUUGUUAUUUUGCUCGUGUUUUUGUUGAGUUUCUUGUUGCUACAGCAAGUAAGAUAAAAUGGAAACAAAACGACGGAAAACAUCGUUCUAGCUGGCAAAAAAGGGUAUACGAACUCUGGAUACUCUCUGCACUUAAAAUCCUAAGACACACACUUUACAGAAAGUGGUGCCAAUUUAAGGGAAAGCCCAAUUCUGAGAAUAUCUAAAUACUUUAUAAUUAAUGCGCUUCAUCAACCGCUGGCAUAUUCUUAGUAGCUAAUUGGAUUUAUAAAAAGUCUCAUAAGCUCAGUUUUCAGGCAAUAAAUGCUGCAAUCUCACUUUUAAACUGUAUUCGAUAUGAAUUUUUCUAAUUAAAUUUGGGAACUUGUCUGCUACUUUUUUGUCACGUGUCACGAGCCACGAUCAACCGAUCAAAACCCGGAAGAGCGGUGUGUUGGGUGGUUUUUUUUCGGUGGUUCCAGUGGUUCCAGUGGUUUCAGUGGUGCUAUUACUCUGGGCAGGUGCUAGCGAUCCGGACUGGUUGAGAUCGGUUUGAUUGUUUGGACAUUUUCAUACACUCGUCAUGCGUCAUCGAUCGCCAGUUUUUACACAAGAAAAAAAUUACAGAUACUCACCUGUCCGAUCGAGUAAAAAUUUUUAUAUAUGUAAGUAAUUUUACUUCUAUGUAAUCAUCGCUUUCAUUAAUUUUUAACAUAGCAUUCAAUUUAUUUUCUUUAUUUCUUAAUUUGCAAGUGCCCAAAUUGUUUCACUGUGUACGUUUUGAAGGGCUGCGAACCGGAAUGAACCAAUAGGCCACACUUCACGCUCCACACUCAAUUGAUCAACUGCCGCGUUGAAUGGAUUGGCUUAAUAUUAAGAAACAUAAUACAUUUUUUGUGGCAGUAUCAAGGAAUGUGUGAGCUGUGAACACUGUGGCUUAUCCGAAGUUUGUACGCAAAAACAGGGCCUAAAUAAAAUUCAAAAAUAUCUUUGAAUCUGUAUGGUUAUGGGUUUAUUCGAUAACAACUUCAAUUUGAAACUCCUCAAGUUUCUUCUGUCGAGUGGGUCCUUUUUUCUCUUUAUUUUGCCCUGUGCCACUUGUGUGUGCACCACUUUUUGGGCACUUUUCCCCGGAGAUCACAAGUGCACGGCUGUCCAGGGAAUGGGGAAAAUUUACUUUUUUCCCUACCGAAUUCGAACCAUCAGCGAUUAAGGGAAAAAAGAAGUGGAGCGUACAGGAAAAACAAUACUCCGUGAAAGGAUCCCCCAAAUCGAGUUUGCUAAGUAAUUGUGGAAUUAUUUGAUUAACAUCAAUGUGAUGAAUACAUUUUUUACAGAAAAGACAAAUAUCUUUCGAAAAGAUAGUAUUGUUUCUACUAACAAAUAUUUUUGAUCACAAAUAUAUAGUAACUAGUAUAGUAUAGUACUAUUCGUUAUCUUUUUUUAAUAACAAAGCCGGUUAUCUGGAAAAAUCUUCACGUUCCUGGAGAACGAUUUUCGCCAUAAAUUUUUCGCCCCGGCCACUUCCUUUUUGCGGGCCAUUUUCGUUUUCAUUUCCAAUUGCGAUGCCAAUACCGAAUUCCCGACUCAGACGCACAUUAACCUGGCCCACGAAGUGACCUUGAACCUGCCGUGACCUUGCAGCCCAGCAAAGGAUAAAUAUGGCAACAAAAAAUACAAGGAAAAAGACAUUAGAAAUCCGAAAGGAGCGAGUAGGAUGCCUGUCUGAAAUCGCAGAAUCCUUUGGAGGUUUUCUUGAUUGCGCAGGACACGUUGAAGAGGAUAACGAUGAUGGUGGCGGAGAUGGAGAUGUGGAAGUGUAUGUCUGGCUCACUACGACCCCCCCCCACUUUUCCGCCCCGAAGGCGGCCCCUAUUUUCUCGACCCAACCCUCACACACUUCCCCAUUUGCGGUUGAAUGUCCUUCUGCCCGUCUGACAAGUUUGUUUUGCUUUUCGCCCGGGUUUCAUUAUCGUUUUGAAGGUCGCAGACAGUGCCGCCACGCCCCCAAACCACAGCCGCACACCCUCAAAUGCGCCACGCCCAUCCAGCCGUGUGGAAAUUUGUGCCAAAUACGCAGACGGCAGCUAAUGGCAAGGAAAAACAAAAAAUAAAUAAGGGAUAAGGAUAGAGGAUGUUCUGGGAAGAAAACAUCCGCAGAUAGACAGUAAGAUAAAAACGUGCACACAUAAGUACGUAAAUGAAGUAGGAGACAAAACCCUAUCAACAAGUUUAAUUAUUUCUAGCUCCUUUCAACAUAUUAUUAACUGACAUUUAUUAAAUUUCUCAAAAAUGGUAGUUAGUUAAUAAAAUUAGUUUACAUUUUGAUAAAAUAAAAAAAAAAAGCUGGUAACUGAAAUGUAUAAUUGAAGUUGAAGCUGGAGUGGGAAAAUCAUUAAAAGGUCGCACUCAUUUCAAUUCCUGGCUGUGCACUGUGCAAAACAUAAUGUGUGUUUGGGGACAGGAAUGGGGACGUAGGAAAGGUGAAAGUAAAAGUGAAAAUUGGGUGGGCAUUGGGGAUGCAUAAAAAGGUGUCGAGGGAUACAAGGCAAACGCCUCCCAAAAAGUAAACUUAAAUGCGAUACAUUAUUCAUGUAAUUUCUGUCCGACAGCGAGAAUCAACCUUCAAUUUUAGUCCGACAGUUAAAUGGUUACAAGAAUACAUGUUACAUACAUAUGUACAUAAACUUGUUCUAAAAAAUACAUAUUUUAGCAAGUAAGUUUUAAUUCCAUUAGGUUUCAACAUAUAUUCGAAAAUACAUGUAUAAUAUAACAUCAAAAAUUUCUUACCUUUACCCCGUCAACAUUUCUUAGCAACAGUGUUUCGGCAACAUUCACUUUCGUCUUGGCCACAGUGUUGCUGCAACAAAAAGCGAAAAGAAAAACUCACUCAAUUUGUUCUCUUGUGCUCGUAACUCUUCGAUUUGUUUUGAGUGCUGCGCCUGUUUUGCUUUUGCAUUGUUUUGAUUUUUUUUGUGUGCCGUUAUAAAAGCGCCACGCUGUACUUUUUUGCGUUUUACGCUCUUGGCGAAUUUGUUGUGUGAGCAUGUGAGUGUGUGUGAGCGCAACUGUACCGGCGUCUUCUUUCUUCGGAGCUUUUUUGUUGUUUUUGCAGCUGCCGUUUUCUUGCCUUUUCUGUCUUCGCCUUCCUUUAUUUUUUUUGUCUUUACACCUCUGGGCGUAAAUCCACAUGCAAAAUGUGUCAACGGCGAAGAAAAUCGACAGCGAAGAUAAAGAUAAAGAGGAAGAAGACAACGAAGCCAUCUGUAAGAAAAGAACAUAAAUCAAAGGGGAAUAGGAGUCAAAUAGAAUGACGAGAAUAGAGUUGUAACGAACAAUUAGCAUUAAAAAUGAGAAACUGGACUGCCAAACCUAACACAUAUCUAAGUAUGAACAUACAUAUGUAUGUAUGUAUGUAUUAAAUAAGUAGAUCCAUAAAAGUACAUACAUACUUCAUAAACUUAUUGAACAUCCCUUUCCUCUUUUCAAAUUCCUAGAUUAUUAAAGAAGUGUUUGGUCCAAAAAAUCAAUGAUAAAUAGAAUAAAUACUUCUAUUUAUAUCAGAUUGGAAAUCAUUCACGAUAAUCCUCAAAUUACGAUCGUGGCCUUCAAGUGUGUGUUCAAUUACGCCUAUGAAUCAGUUGUGCCAAAAUACUCGAGUAUUGAGCUCCUCCAAUAAUUUAUAAUUGAAGGUUUGCACAUGCGUUAUCUUCUGAUACGAAAGGCGUCUAAAUAGUUAGCGCCAAAAAGCGGUAAUGGCAAAUAAAUAAUAUAAACAUGUAGGUACACCUUGCAAAAACCGAGUUUAGAUGCAUAUUUAAGUGAAAACUAGCCUAAUAAUAUUAUAAUAUAAUAUUAUAUAUAUAUGUAAUCCCAUACCUCUUUAUUUAAGUGAAAACUAGCCUUAUAAUAUUACUGAAACGUAUGUAAUAAAAAUACUCACAAUUCCAAUAGCACUUAAAAAAAAAAUUGUUAUUUUACGCAGUAUUCACGUAGUAAAAUCCCACUACUAAACGUAACGUAGCGGAGAAAAAUAAGAAGCAGGAGAUAGCGACUUUGUUGCAAAAGGAAGACUAGUGCGCAAUGCAAUUUAAGAUUAUUUGCGUUAUCAAUGGGGGGCGAUAGUUUCUGGCCUACGGCGAGCAUAACUGGCACUCGAGGCACCCCGGCUUUAUCGCAUUUGAAUUGCCAAUACAAUUACGCCGAGUACACCUGUCGACACCGGCGUCAAAGUUACAUUGUUGCUGCACGUGUAGACCGUUAAAUGCCAAGUCAACUGCGCCUGGGGAUGGGAUGAACCUCAAUCCAGAAUUAGCAAUACUGUCGAUAAGAUCGUACAGCCGUAUGUACACAUUUAUGUAACUUGCUUACAUACAUACAUAAAUGAAGCUACACUGUGGUAUCCACAUGUACAUACAUCUUAAGUUGCUUUGGUGUUUCUUCGCCUUCCACGCAUUCUUUCUUAUCUUUUUCUAAUCUAUCGACACAUUAAUUCCGAUAUUUUCGAUAACUGUCGAUUCAGGCGACUCGGUGUCGUCACUGUCAUCGCCUAUCAUUUUUACGAGCCCGACGCGAGGUUAUUCGGUUACGUUACGUCGAUUUUUUGAAAGCUUGGCAAAUUCUGGACAAACUUGAUAUGGGAACUCAGCACGGCAGGCACUUGUUGCCAUUAUUUACGCAGUUGUUUUAUCUCCCCAUGCACACUUUCCAUUUUAGCGCGAACGUAAACGGUGCAGAAAGUAGUGUAGUAUUAUUACACAAAACAAGCAGCACACGUAAAAAAGAAUUGCGCAAACAUCUUAAUACGAAAAUAUUUCAAAAUUUAUUUAAAUCGAACUUCGACAGCGGAAGAAUGCAGCGCGAAAAAAAGCUCACAAAAUGCGCGCCAAUUUCUUUUUGUCUGUAACGCAGUUGUACCCUGUAGGAGAAGGAGGGUAUUGGCACUGGCAGGGAACUUUUGUUUGUGGUGCUCAUAAAUACUUAAGUGGAAAUACCCGUUGCGUUACUUAAUUGGCAUUGUGCUGACAGGAGCAUUUAACAAUAAUAAUUAAAUAAUAAUUUCAAGUGCAAAUUGCAGAGUAGUUCUUGGGCGAGUUUUCAACUGGAAUUUUCCUGCUGGGUCGCUGGUUGCGAAAUCAAAACAAAAUCCGUAGCGUGCAAAGGUGCGAAAGAGAGGGCAGAUGCACGCGCAAAAAAGGUGCAAUGGAAAUUGGUGCAAUGGAAAGCGAAACGUAACGAAAUCAGCAGGGUGACGAAAGCGGGAAGAACUUUGCGUCGCAACCACCUGAUGAUUUAAUAGUCGCAGAAGGGCGCAAAAUUCCAUCACUUGUUUCUUUCGAAUUCAUACAUACAUAUGUAUGCACAUAAGUACAUACAUGCAUACAUAUGUGUGCAUGUGUUACAUGUAUUGUCGCAUGUAGUGUAAUACGCAAUAAAAAUGCACCGUUAGUGAUUUACCUACAUACUUUAUAAGUGUUCAAAAAUAAACGUUUUAAGAAUAUUGCUGGAAAA
Long non-coding RNA from Drosophila yakuba, 6254 nucleotides. RefSeq lists it as uncharacterized. The transcript has 2 exons. The record is from RefSeq and is a predicted model, not a curated record. Lineage: Eukaryota; Metazoa; Arthropoda; Insecta; Diptera; Drosophilidae.